RNAcentral lists this ribosomal RNA (428 nucleotides) under uncultured bacterium. RNAcentral's name for it is "bacterial SSU rRNA". It matches the Rfam family "Bacterial small subunit ribosomal RNA", at positions 355 to 776 of the family's 1533-position model. The record is from RNAcentral.
UAGGGAAUCUUCCGCAAUGGACGAAAGUCUGACGGAGCAACGCCGCGUGAGUGAAGAAGGUUUUCGGAUCGUAAAGCUCUGUUGCUAGGGAAGAAAACUAUGGAGAGUAACUGCUCGAUAGAAGACGGUACCUAAGAAGAAAGCCCCGGCUAACUACGUGCCAGCAGCCGCGGUAAUACGUAGGGGGCAAGCGUUGUCCGGAAUGAUUGGGCGUAAAGGGCGCGUAGGCGGUAAAGUAAGUUGAGUGUAUAACCCUAGGGCUCAACCUUAGGUGGCAUUCAAAACUGCUUAACUAGAGUGCAGAAGAGGAAAGUGGAAUUCCACGUGUAGCGGUGAAAUGCGUAGAGAUGUGGAGGAACACCAGUGGCGAAGGCGACUUUCUGGGCUGUAACUGACGCUGAGGCGCGAAAGCGUGGGGAGCAAACAGG